Molecule: signal recognition particle RNA, 299 nt
Filed under: Saimiri boliviensis boliviensis (Bolivian squirrel monkey)
Lineage: Eukaryota; Metazoa; Chordata; Mammalia; Primates; Cebidae
Description: Metazoan signal recognition particle RNA (ENSSBOG00000004532.1)
Rfam family: Metazoan signal recognition particle RNA
About the family: The signal recognition particle (SRP) is a universally conserved ribonucleoprotein. It is involved in the co-translational targeting of proteins to membranes. The eukaryotic SRP consists of a 300-nucleotide 7S RNA and six proteins: SRPs 72, 68, 54, 19, 14, and 9.
Source: RNAcentral
GCCAGGCGUGGUGGCGUGUGCCUGUAAUCCCAGCUACUCGGGAGGCUGAGGUGGGAGGAUUGCUUGAGCCCAGGAGUUCUGGACUGUAGUGCGCUAUGCCGAUCAGGUGUCCACACUAGGUUCAGCAUCAAUAUGGUGACCUCCUGGGAGCGGGGGACAACCAGGUUGCCUAAGGAGGGGUGAACCCGCCCAGGCUGGAAAUGGAGCAGGUCAAAACUCCCAUGCUGAUCAGUAGUGGGAUCGCACCUGUGAAUAGCCACUGCAUUCCAGCCUGGGCAACACAGUGAGACCCCGUCUCU